UGAUAAUUAGUUUAACAAAAAACAAAUGAUUUCGACUCAUUAGAUUAUGACAGUACUCAUAAUUAUCAA
RNAcentral lists this transfer RNA (69 nucleotides) under Rousettus amplexicaudatus (Geoffroy's rousette). Its description in RNAcentral is "tRNA-Arg". It matches the Rfam family "tRNA". From Rfam's summary of the family: Transfer RNA (tRNA) molecules are approximately 80 nucleotides in length. Their secondary structure includes four short double-helical elements and three loops (D, anti-codon, and T loops). The record is from RNAcentral. Lineage: Eukaryota; Metazoa; Chordata; Mammalia; Chiroptera; Pteropodidae.